RNAcentral lists this non-coding RNA (520 nucleotides) under Pongo abelii (Sumatran orangutan). Lineage: Eukaryota; Metazoa; Chordata; Mammalia; Primates; Hominidae. The record is from RNAcentral.
AUUCUCUCUUCGCCUGCUGCCGUCCAUGUAAGUUGGGACUUGCUCCUCCUUGCCUUCCACCAUGAUUGUGAGGCUUCCUCAGCCACGUGGAACUAUGCCCUGACCUGGGAAACCCUCGGUGAGAGGCCCACAGCCCCACUUCUAGGGUCACCACUGCUUCUUCCAGCCCAGCCAAACAGCUCCUAGUACAGCUCAGAGCACCCUGCAAGGAGGGCAGGUGUUAAAUCGAGGAGCACACAUGCUCCACGAGGAGUUCUUUGCUUUGAGGCCAUGCACAGAGGUGGGUUCACUAUGAAGCUUGUGAAAUAAGCUUCAGGACCUGCAUUUGCAUGAGCCACAGAGAGUCUGGGAGCUGCAGAAGGUUCGAGGGAAGAGGAGCCAUCACAAGCAGAAUAUUCUAGAAGGCAUUUCUGGCAAAUGGCCCAAAGAGGCCUCAGGAGAAAAGAACUUGAGUCUUCAGGGUAACCUGCGACUUUUUUGUCUCAUUAUAAAUAUUAACUUUCAUGCUUAAUUUUCAUAU